RNAcentral lists this ribosomal RNA (459 nucleotides) under uncultured bacterium. Its description in RNAcentral is "partial 16S ribosomal RNA". It matches the Rfam family "Bacterial small subunit ribosomal RNA", at positions 338 to 795 of the family's 1533-position model. The record is from RNAcentral.
CCUACGGGGUGCAGCAGUGAGGAAUAUUGGUCAAUGGCCGCAGGGCUGAACCAGCCAAGUCGCGUGAGGGAUGACGGUCCUAUGGAUUGUAAACCUCUUUUGUCAGGGAGCAAAGGGCGCCACGUGUGGCGUUUUGCGAGUACCUGAAGAAAAAGCAUCGGCUAACUCCGUGCCAGCAGCCGCGUUAAUACGGAGGAUGCGAGCGUUAUCCGGAUUUAUUGGGUUUAACGGGUGCACAGGGGGAAUGGAAAGUCAGCGGUAAAAGUUCGGUGAUAAACCCCGUCGUGCCGUUGAAACUGGCGUUCUUGAGUGAGCGAGAGGUAUGCGGAAUGCGUGGUGGAGCGGUGAAAUGCAUAGAUAUCACGCAGAACUCCGAUUGCGAAGGCAGCAUACCGGCGCUCAACUGACGCUCAUGCACGAAAGCGUGGGUAUCGAACAGGAUUAGAUACCCGGGUAGUC